GACGAACGCUGGCGGCGCGCUUAACACAUGCAAGUCGAACGGAAAGGCCUGCUUUCCCUUGUGGAUUGCGGGUACUCGAGUGGCGAACGGGUGAGUAACACGUGAGUGAUCUGCCCCCAACUUGGGUAUAAGCCUGGGAAACUGGGUCUAAUUCCCGAUAGGACUGCAGGGUGGUGCCUGUGGUGGAAAACGAUUUUCUAGUGGUUGGGGAUGAGCUCGCGGCCUAUCAGCUUGUUGGUGGGGUAAUGGCCUACCAAGGCGGCGACGGGUAGCCGACCUGAGAGGGUGGACGGCCACAUUGGGACUGAGAUACGGCCCAGACUCCUACGGGAGGCAGCAGUGGGGAAUAGUGCACAAUGGGCGGAAGCCUGAUGCAGCGACGCCGCGUGGGGGAUGACGGCCUUCGGGUUGUAAACUCCUUUCGACCGCGAGGAAGCCACCUGGUUGGAAGGGUGGUGACGGUAGUGGUAGAAGAAGCACCGGCUAACUACGUG
RNAcentral lists this ribosomal RNA (494 nucleotides) under uncultured bacterium. RNAcentral's name for it is "partial 16S ribosomal RNA". It matches the Rfam family "Bacterial small subunit ribosomal RNA", at positions 28 to 507 of the family's 1533-position model. The record is from RNAcentral.